RNAcentral lists this ribosomal RNA (440 nucleotides) under uncultured bacterium. RNAcentral's name for it is "bacterial SSU rRNA". It matches the Rfam family "Bacterial small subunit ribosomal RNA", at positions 355 to 786 of the family's 1533-position model. The record is from RNAcentral.
UAGGGAAUUUUCGUCAAUGGGCGCAAGCCUGAUGGAGCAACGCCGCGUGGGUGAAGAAGGUCUUCGGAUCGUAAAACCCUGUUGUUAGAGAAGAAAGUGCGUGAGAGUAACUGUUCACGUUUCGACGGUAUCUAACCAGAAAGCCACGGCUAACUACGUGCCAGCAGCCGCGGUAAUACGUAGGUGGCAAGCGUUAUCCGGAUUUAUUGGGCGUAAAGGGAACGCGGGCGGUCUUUUAAGUCUGAUGUGAAAGCCUUCGGCUUAACCGGAGUAGUGCAUUGGAAACUGGGAGACUUGAGUGCAGAAGAGGAGAGUGGAACUCCAUGUGUAGCGGUGAAAUGCGUAGAUAUAUGGAAGAACACCAGUGGCGAAAGCGGCUCUCUGGUCUGUAACUGACGCUGAGGUUCGAAAGCGUGGGGUAGCAAACAGGAUUAGAUACC